Molecule: ribosomal RNA, 497 nt
Filed under: uncultured bacterium
Lineage: Bacteria
Description: partial 16S ribosomal RNA
Rfam family: Bacterial small subunit ribosomal RNA
Source: RNAcentral
GAUGAACGCUGGCGGCGUGCCUAAUACAUGCAAGUCGAGCGAACGGACGAGAAGCUUGCUUCUCUGAUGUUAGCGGCGGACGGGUGAGUAACACGUGGAUAACCUACCUAUAAGACUGGGAUAACUUCGGGAAACCGGAGCUAAUACCGGAUAAUAUUUUGAACCGCAUGGUUCAAAAGUGAAAGACGGUCUUGCUGUCACUUAUAGAUGGAUCCGCGCUGCAUUAGGUAGUUGGUAAGGUAACGGCUUACCAAGGCAACGAUGGAUAGCCGACCUGAGAGGGUGAUCGGCCACACCGGAACCGAGACCACGGCCCGACCCCCAAGGGAGGCAGAAGUAGGGAAUCUUCCGCAAUGGGCGAAAGCCCUAAGGAACAACCGCGCGGUAGUUAUUAAGGUCCUUCGAUCCUAAAACCCCUUUAUUAGGGAAGAAAAUAUGUUGAAGUAACUGUGCACAUCUUGACGGUACCUAAUCAGAAAGCCACGGCUAACUACGUG